This 433-nucleotide ribosomal RNA is filed under the name uncultured bacterium. RNAcentral describes it as "partial 16S ribosomal RNA". It matches the Rfam family "Bacterial small subunit ribosomal RNA", at positions 29 to 507 of the family's 1533-position model. The record is from RNAcentral.
AACGAACGCUGGCGGCAUGCCUAACACAUGCAAGUCGAACGAGACCUUCGGGUCUAGUGGCGCACGGGUGCGUAACGCGUGGGAACCUGCCCUUAGGUUCGGAAUAACUCCCCGAAAGGGGUGCUAAUACCGGAUAAUGUCUUCGGACCAAAGAUUUAUCGCCUUUGGAUGGGCCCGCGUUGGAUUAGCUAGUUGGUAGGGUAAAAGCCUACCAAGGCGACGAUCCAUAGCUGGUCUGAGAGGAUGAUCAGCAACACUGGGACUGAGACACGGCCCAGACUCCUACGGGAGGCAGCAGUUGGGAAUAUUGGACAAUGGGCGAAAGCCUGAUCCAGCAAUGCCGCGUGAGUGAUGAAGGCCUUAGGGUUGUAAAGCUCUGUUACCCGGGAUGAUAAUGACAGUACCGGGAGAAUAAGCUCCGGCUAACUCCGUG